GACGAACUGUCCAAACGUUGUUCGGAAUCACUGGGCUUAAAGGGCGCGUAGGCGGUCGAUCACGUCAGGGGUGAAAUCCUGCAGCUUAACUGUAGAAGUGCCUUUGAUACUGGUCGUCUCGAGGGAGGUAGGGGUGUGUGGAACUUCCAGUGGAGCGGUGAAAUGCGUUGAUAUUGGAAGGAACGCCGGAGGCGAAAGCGACGCACUGGACCUUUUCUGACGCUGAGGCGCGAAAGCUAGGGGAGCAAACGGG
This 253-nucleotide ribosomal RNA is filed under the name uncultured bacterium. Its description in RNAcentral is "partial 16S ribosomal RNA". It matches the Rfam family "Bacterial small subunit ribosomal RNA", at positions 524 to 776 of the family's 1533-position model. The record is from RNAcentral.